AUUGAACGCUGGCGGCAUGCCUUACACAUGCAAGUCGAACGGCAGCACGGGGGCAACCCUGGUGGCGAGUGGCGAACGGGUGAGUAAUGCAUCGGAACGUGCCCAGUAGUGGGGGAGUAACUAGUCGAAAGAUUAGCUAAUACCGCAUACGACCUAUGGGUGAAAGCGGGGGAUUCGCAAGAACCUCGCGCUAUCGGAGCGGCCGAUGUCUGAUUAGCUAGUUGGCGGGGUAAAAGGCCCACCAAGGCUUCGAUCAGUAGCUGGUCUGAGAGGACGACCAGCCACACUGGGACUGAGACACGGCCCAGACUCCUACGGGAGGCAGCAGUGGGGAAUUUUGGACAAUGGGCGCAAGCCUGAUCCAGCCAUGCCGCGUGCGGGAAGAAGGCCUC
RNAcentral lists this ribosomal RNA (392 nucleotides) under uncultured bacterium. RNAcentral describes it as "bacterial SSU rRNA". It matches the Rfam family "Bacterial small subunit ribosomal RNA", at positions 29 to 418 of the family's 1533-position model. The record is from RNAcentral.